AAAUAGGAAGCUUUAAGCAUUCAAUUUCGACCUGAAAACUAGGUUUAUGAAACCCCUCUUUU
Molecule: transfer RNA, 62 nt
Filed under: Dicyrtomina saundersi
Lineage: Eukaryota; Metazoa; Arthropoda; Collembola; Symphypleona; Dicyrtomidae
Also listed under: 1 other name
Description: tRNA-Arg
Source: RNAcentral